AAAUUGAAGAGUUUGAUCAUGGCUCAGAUUGAACGCUGGCGGCAGGCCUAACACAUGCAAGUCGAACGGUAACAGGAAGCAGCUUGCUGCUUCGCUGACGAGUGGCGGACGGGUGAGUAAUGUCUGGGAAACUGCCUGAUGGAGGGGGAUAACUACUGGAAACGGUGGCUAAUACCGCAUAACGUCGCAAGACCAAAGAGGGGGACCUUCGGGCCUCUUGCCAUCAGAUGUGCCCAGAUGGGAUUAGCUUGUUGGUGAGGUAACGGCUCACCAAGGCGACGAUCCCUAGCUGGUCUGAGAGGAUGACCAGCCACACUGGAACUGAGACACGGUCCAGACUCCUACGGGAGGCAGCAGUGGGGAAUAUUGCACAAUGGGCGCAAGCCUGAUGCAGCCAUGCCGCGUGUAUGAAGAAGGCCUUCGGGUUGUAAAGUACUUUCAGCGGGGAGGAAGGUGUUGUGGUUAAUAACCGCAGCAAUUGACGUUACCCGCAGAAGAAGCACCGGCUAACUCCGUGCCAGCAGCCGCGGUAAUACGGAGGGUGCAAGCGUUAAUCGGAAUUACUGGGCGUAAAGCGCACGCAGGCGGUCUGUCAAGUCGGAUGUGAAAUCCCCGGGCUCAACCUGGGAACUGCAUUCGAAACUGGCAGGCUUGAGUCUUGUAGAGGGGGGUAGAAUUCCAGGUGUAGCGGUGAAAUGCGUAGAGAUCUGGAGGAAUACCGGUGGCGAAGGCGGCCCCCUGGACAAAGACUGACGCUCAGGUGCGAAAGCGUGGGGAGCAAACAGGAUUAGAUACCCUGGUAGUCCACGCCGUAAACGAUGUCUACUUGGAGGUUGUGCCCUUGAGGCGUGGCUUCCGGAGCUAACGCGUUAAGUAGACCGCCUGGGGAGUACGGCCGCAAGGUUAAAACUCAAAUGAAUUGACGGGGGCCCGCACAAGCGGUGGAGCAUGUGGUUUAAUUCGAUGCAACGCGAAGAACCUUACCUGGUCUUGACAUCCACAGAACUUUCCAGAGAUGGAUUGGUGCCUUCGGGAACUGUGAGACAGGUGCUGCAUGGCUGUCGUCAGCUCGUGUUGUGAAAUGUUGGGUUAAGUCCCGCAACGAGCGCAACCCUUAUCCUUUGUUGCCAGCGGUUAGGCCGGGAACUCAAAGGAGACUGCCAGUGAUAAACUGGAGGAAGGUGGGGAUGACGUCAAGUCAUCAUGGCCCUUACGACCAGGGCUACACACGUGCUACAAUGGCGCAUACAAAGAGAAGCGACCUCGCGAGAGCAAGCGGACCUCAUAAAGUGCGUCGUAGUCCGGAUUGGAGUCUGCAACUCGACUCCAUGAAGUCGGAAUCGCUAGUAAUCGUGGAUCAGAAUGCCACGGUGAAUACGUUCCCGGGCCUUGUACACACCGCCCGUCACACCAUGGGAGUGGGUUGCAAAAGAAGUAGGUAGCUUAACCUUCGGGAGGGCGCUUACCACUUUGUGAUUCAUGACUGGGGUGAAGUCGUAACAAGGUAACCGUAGGGGAACCUGCGGUUGGAUCACCUCCUUACCUUAAAGAAGC
RNAcentral lists this ribosomal RNA (1554 nucleotides) under Salmonella enterica subsp. enterica serovar Anatum. RNAcentral's name for it is "bacterial SSU rRNA". It matches the Rfam family "Bacterial small subunit ribosomal RNA". Lineage: Bacteria; Pseudomonadati; Pseudomonadota; Gammaproteobacteria; Enterobacterales; Enterobacteriaceae. RNAcentral also lists the same sequence under 6 other names. The record is from RNAcentral.